AAGGCAAUAGAGGAAGAACAUCUAAGAGUAUCAGAGCAAAGUAUAUCUAGAGGCUACAAUAAGGGAAAAGAACAUAAGCCAAAUCCACUAGAUAAAACCAUAAAGUAAUACAAUAGGAGUCCCAAAUACAAGAGCUAAACAAGGUACAUAGGUGGUCUCUAUACAUGGUACAAAACCUCUCUCACACAAAAACGCAAAAAGAAGAGAGUAAUCACCUAGGAGCAAAAGCGAGCUCCGCUCUAUCUAGUUAGACGACACCCUUGCCG
RNAcentral lists this long non-coding RNA (266 nucleotides) under Ananas comosus (pineapple). RNAcentral describes it as "long non-coding RNA (ACOM_LNC005388)". The record is from RNAcentral. Lineage: Eukaryota; Viridiplantae; Streptophyta; Magnoliopsida; Poales; Bromeliaceae.